GUCCACGCCGUAAACGAUGCUAACUCGUUUUUGGAUUUUCGGAUUCAGAGACCAAGCGAAAGUGAUAAGUUAGCCACCUGGGGAGUACGUUCGCAAGAAUGAAACUCAAAGGAAUUGACGGGGGCCCGCACAAGUGGUGGAUUAUGUGGUUUAAUUCGAUGAUACGCGAGGAACCUUACCAAGACUUAAAUGGGAAUUGACAGGUUUAGAAAUAGACCCUUCUUCGGACAAUUUUCAAGGUGCUGCAUGGUUGUCGU
Molecule: ribosomal RNA, 257 nt
Filed under: uncultured bacterium
Lineage: Bacteria
Description: partial 16S ribosomal RNA
Rfam family: Bacterial small subunit ribosomal RNA
Source: RNAcentral